GAUGAACGCUGGCGGCGUGCCUAAUACAUGCAAGUCGAGCGAACAGACGAGGAGCUUGCUCCUCUGACGUUAGCGGCGGACGGGUGAGUAACACGUGGAUAACCUACCUAUAAGACUGGGAUAACUUCGGGAAACCGGAGCUAAUACCGGAUAAUAUAUUGAACCGCAUGGUUCAAUAGUGAAAGACGGUUUUGCUGUCACUUAUAGAUGGAUCCGCGCCGCAUUAGCUAGUUGGUAAGGUAACGGCUUACCAAGGCGACGAUGCGUAGCCGACCUGAGAGGGUGAUCGGCCACACUGGAACUGAGACACGGUCCAGACUCCUACGGGAGGCAGCAGUAGGGAAUCUUCCGCAAUGGGCGAAAGCCUGACGGAGCAACGCCGCGUGAGUGAUGAAGGUCUGCGGAUCGUAAAACGCUGUUAUUAGGGAAGAACAAAUGUGUAAGUAACGAUGCACGUCUUGACGGUACCUAAGCAGAAAGCCACGGCUAACUACGU
This 496-nucleotide ribosomal RNA is filed under the name uncultured bacterium. Its description in RNAcentral is "partial 16S ribosomal RNA". It matches the Rfam family "Bacterial small subunit ribosomal RNA", at positions 28 to 506 of the family's 1533-position model. The record is from RNAcentral.